GACGAACGCUGGCGGCGUGCUUAACACAUGCAAGUCGAACGGUAAGGCCCUUCGGGGUACACGAGUGGCGAACGGGUGAGUAACACGUGGGUGAUCUGCCCUGCACUUCGGGAUAAGCCUGGGAAACUGGGUCUAAUACCGGAUAGGACCACUGCCUGCAUGGGUGGUGGGGGAAAGCUUUUGCGGUGUGGGAUGGGCCCGCGGCCUAUCAGCUUGUUGGGGGGGUGAUGGCCUACCAAGGCGACGACGGGUAGCCGGCCUGAGAGGGUGACCGGCAACACUGGGACUGGGGUACGGCCCAGCCUCCGACGGGAGGCAGCAGUGGGGAAUAUUGCACAAGGGGCGCAAGCCUGAUGCAGCGACGCCGCGUGAGGGAUGACGGCCUUCGGGUUGUAAACCUCUUUCAGCUAUGACGAAGCGCAAGUGACGGUAGUAGCAGAAGAAGGACCGGCCAACUACGUGCCAGCCGCCGCCGUAA
RNAcentral lists this ribosomal RNA (478 nucleotides) under uncultured bacterium. RNAcentral's name for it is "partial 16S ribosomal RNA". It matches the Rfam family "Bacterial small subunit ribosomal RNA", at positions 28 to 523 of the family's 1533-position model. The record is from RNAcentral.